GUGGGGAAUAUUGGACAAUGGGCGCAAGCCUGAUCCAGCCAUACCGCGUGGGUGAAGAAGGCCUUCGGGUUGUAAAGCCCUUUUGUUGGGAAAGAAAAGCAGUCGGCUAAUACCCGGUUGUUCUGACGGUACCCAAAGAAUAAGCACCGGCUAACUUCGUGCCAGCAGCCGCGGUAAUACGAAGGGUGCAAGCGUUACUCGGAAUUACUGGGCGUAAAGCGUGCGUAGGUGGUUGUUUAAGUCUGUUGUGAAAGCCCUGGGCUCAACCUGGGAAUUGCAGUGGAUACUGGGCGACUAGAGUGUGGUAGAGGGUAGUGGAAUUCCCGGUGUAGCAGUGAAAUGCGUAGAGAUCGGGAGGAACAUCCAUGGCGAAGGCAGCUACCUGGACCAACACUGACACUGAGGCACGAAAGCGUGGGGAGCAAACAGG
This 430-nucleotide ribosomal RNA is filed under the name uncultured bacterium. RNAcentral describes it as "bacterial SSU rRNA". It matches the Rfam family "Bacterial small subunit ribosomal RNA", at positions 354 to 776 of the family's 1533-position model. The record is from RNAcentral. RNAcentral also lists the same sequence under 1 other name.